UUGGAGAAGGCUAGGCCAGCUUGGCGUUGGUUGUCCAAGUUUAAGGUGGUAGGCUGAAAUCUUAGGUAAAUCCGGGGUUUCAAGGCCGAGAGCUGAUGACGAGUCGUCUUUUAGAUGACGAAGUGGUUGAUGCCAUGCUUCCAAGAAAAGCUUCUAAGCUUCAGGUAACCAGGAACCGUACCCCAAACCGACACAGGUGGUCGGGUAGAGAAUACCAAGGCGCUUGAGAGAACUCGGGUGAAGGAACUAGGCAAAAUGGCACCGUAACUUCGGGAGAAGGUGCGCCGGCUAGGGUGAAGGAUUUACUCCGUAAGCUCUGGCUGGUCGAAGAUACCAGGCCGCUGCGACUGUUUAUUAAAAACACAGCACUCUGCAAACACGAAAGUGGACGUAUAGGGUGUGACGCCUCCCCGGUGCCGGAAGGUUAAUUGAUGGGGUUAGCGCAAGCGAAGCUCUUGAUCGAAGCCCCGGUAAACGGCGGCCGUAACGAUAACGGUCCUAAGGUAGCGAAAUUCCUUGUCGGGUAAGUUCCGACCUGCACGAAUGGCGUAACGAUGGCGGCGCUGUCUCCACCCGAGACUCAGUGAAAUUGAAAUCGCUGUGAAGAUGCAGUGUAUCCGCGGCUAGACGGAAAGACCCCGUGAACCUUUACUGUAGCUUUGCACUGGACUUUGAGCCUGCUUGUGUAGGAUAGGUGGGAGGCUUUGAAGCGUGGACGCCAGUUCGCGUGGAGCCAUCCUUGAAAUACCACCCUGGCAUGCUUGAGGUUCUAACUCUGGUCCGUAAUCCGGAUCGAGGACAGUGUAUGGUGGGCAGUUUGACUGGGGCGGUCUCCUCCUAAAGAGUAACGGAGGAGUACGAAGGUGCGCUCAGACCGGUCGGAAAUCGGUCGCAGAGUAUAAAGGCAAAAGCGCGCUUGACUGCGAGACAGACACGUCGAGCAGGUACGAAAGUAGGUCUUAGUGAUCCGGUGGUUCUGUAUGGAAGGGCCAUCGCUCAACGGAUAAAAGGUACUCCGGGGAUAACAGGCUGAUACCGCCCAAGAGUUCAUAUCGACGGCGGUGUUUGGCACCUCGAUGUCGGCUCAUCACAUCCUGGGGCUGAAGCCGGUCCCAAGGGUAUGGCUGUUCGCCAUUUAAAGUGGUACGCGAGCUGGGUUUAGAACGUCGUGAGACAGUUCGGUCCCUAUCUGCCGUGGACGUUUGAGAUUUGAGAGGGGCUGCUCCUAGUACGAGAGGACCGGAGUGGACGAACCUCUGGUGUUCCGGUUGUCACGCCAGUGGCAUUGCCGGGUAGCUAUGUUCGGAAAAGAUAACCGCUGAAAGCAUCUAAGCGGGAAACUUGCCUCAAGAUGAGAUCUCACUGGGAACUUGAUUCCCCUGAAGGGCCGUCGAAGACUACGACGUUGAUAGGCUGGGUGUGUAAGCGUUGUGAGGCGUUGAGCUAACCAGUACUAAUUGCCCGUGAGGCUUGACC
RNAcentral lists this ribosomal RNA (1476 nucleotides) under metagenome. RNAcentral describes it as "bacterial LSU rRNA". It matches the Rfam family "Bacterial large subunit ribosomal RNA", at positions 1472 to 2925 of the family's 2925-position model. The record is from RNAcentral.